This 337-nucleotide non-coding RNA is filed under the name Vigna angularis (adzuki bean). RNAcentral describes it as "Eukaryotic large subunit ribosomal RNA". It matches the Rfam family "Eukaryotic large subunit ribosomal RNA", at positions 2040 to 2388 of the family's 3401-position model. The record is from Rfam by way of RNAcentral. Lineage: Eukaryota; Viridiplantae; Streptophyta; Magnoliopsida; Fabales; Fabaceae.
UAACGAGAUAGUUAAUGAUCAUAGUCGGUAUAUUCUUCAGUUGUAAUCAGUGCACUUCUUAAAUCUCUCUUUUCAUAAUUAAUGGAAUGCGUUUAAUUAAAACAAAGCAUUGCGAUGGUCUUGUGGAUGUUGACGUAAUGUGAUUUCUGUCCAAUGCUCUGAAUGUCAAAGUGAAGAAAUUCAAUCAAGCGCGGAUAAACGGCGAGAGUAACUAUGACUCUCUUAAGGUAGCCAAAUGCCUCGUCAUCUAAUUAGUGACGUGCAUGAAUGGAUUAAUGAGAUUCCCACUGUCCCUGUCUACUAUCUAUCGAAACCACAACUAAGGGAACGAGCUUGG